RNAcentral lists this ribosomal RNA (457 nucleotides) under uncultured bacterium. RNAcentral's name for it is "bacterial SSU rRNA". It matches the Rfam family "Bacterial small subunit ribosomal RNA", at positions 30 to 507 of the family's 1533-position model. The record is from RNAcentral.
AUUGAACGCUGGCGGAAUGCUUUACACAUGCAAGUCGAGCGGCAGCGCGGGGCAACCUGGCGGCGAGCGGCGAACGGGUGAGUAACAUAUCGGAACGUACCCAGUCGUGGGGGAUAACUAUCCGAAAGGAUAGCUAAUACCGCAUACGACCUGAGGGUGAAAGCGGGGGACCGAAAGGCCUCGCGCGAUUGGAGCGGCCGAUAUCGGAUUAGCUAGUUGGUGAGGUAAAGGCUCACCAAGGCGACGAUCCGUAGCUGGUCUGAGAGGACGACCAGCCACACUGGAACUGAGACACGGUCCAGACUCCUACGGGGGGCAGCAGUGGGGAAUUUUGGACAAUGGGGGCAACCCUGAUCCAGCCAUUCCGCGUGAGUGAUGAAGGCCCUAGGGUUGUAAAGCUCUUUUACCCGGGAUGAUAAUGACAGUACCGGGAGAAUAAGCUCCGGCUAACUUCGUG